Ochotona curzoniae (black-lipped pika) is the source of this 967-nucleotide long non-coding RNA. RefSeq lists it as uncharacterized. The record is from RefSeq and is a predicted model, not a curated record. The transcript has 2 exons. NCBI's taxonomy places the organism in Eukaryota, Metazoa, Chordata, Mammalia, Lagomorpha, Ochotonidae.
GAGCUCAGGCACAGGUCCGACAUCCCCAACUCUCCAGAAACGCUCCAAGAAGCUGUUUUCACGACACUCCAGCUGCACGCUUCCCAGGCACUUUGCUGAGAAGAGCUGAGGAGCGCAGCAACACCCCAGCACAGUGAGGAUCCAAAGGAAAGAGGGCGGAGCACAGCAAGGACGCGGCGCCAGACGCGGGGAGAACUGCCCGCAGCUUGCAAGCGCAACAAGGACUCGGGCGUUCGGAACCAGUAUGGGGCGCAACACAGCAAGACUCGGAACAGCACGAGCGGAUCCAGGAUGCGGUGCAGGGUCGCUCUGGAACGCGGUGCGCGCGCCCAGCGGGGACUGACGGUUAACAGUCGCGCAGGGGUGAGGCCAGGACAAGGUUGCCCGACUUCACUUGACAAGGACCACAGACAGGACUUGUGGAAAGGCGCUCCGAGCAGCAGCUGCGAUGACCAGGGGACACCCAGAACUCAGGGCCAUGGCCACCCAGCCUGCUCUGGCACUGCUGCUGCUACUCCUGCCGGCCCAGAUCCACUCGGAGCCAGAGGCAACCUCGCCCAUCCCGACCCCAACCCUGGGCAGCAACGUGUCAGCGAGCCGGUCCCUGCCCAGCAGCAACUUCCGUUCCUGCGGUCCGCGGCCCGUGCCAGGUUCACUCAUCCUGCUGGUCCAGCUGGCUGCCCUGGUCCCAGGGCCAGCCCUCCACUAGGACGUUCAGAGUUUGUCCAGCUCCCAGACUGGCAUGCCCUGCGUGGCGACAAGCCCGCAGGCCUGCUGCCUGCCCUCUGGAUGUGGGCUUGGAGCCCCACUGGCCGCUGCACUGCUGGGAUUCCAAGGAGACCCGGAGGCAAAGGGACCCCCUGCCGGCUGAGACAAGGGGCUUGGGCCCUGGGGUAUUCCCAAGUCUACCUGGAGGAGGAAAGAAGAUAUUUUUCCUUACUUUUGCUCAUUAAAAGCAUAAAGUCAA